ACUCCCAACCCAUGUGAACUUACCUUUUGUUGCCUCGGCAGAAGUUAUAGGUCUUCUUAUAGCUGCUGCCGGUGGACCAUUAAACUCUUGUUAUUUUAUGUAAUCUGAGCGUCUUAUUUUAAUAAGUCAAAACUUUCAACAACGGAUCUCUUGGUUCUGGCAUCGAUGAAGAACGCAGCGAAAUGCGAUAAGUAAUGUGAAUUGCAGAAUUCAGUGAAUCAUCGAAUCUUUGAACGCACAUUGCGCCCAUUAGUAUUCUAGUGGGCAUGCCUGUUCGAGCGUCAUUUCAACCCUUAAGCCUAGCUUAGUGUUGGGAAUCUACUUCUCUUAGGAGUUGUAGUUCCUGAAAUACAACGGCGGAUUUGUAGUAUCCUCUGAGCGUAGUAAUUUUUUUCUCGCUUUUGUUAGGUGCUAUAACUCCCAGCCGCUAAACCCCCAAUUUUUUGUGGUUGACCUCGGAUCAG
Molecule: ribosomal RNA, 464 nt
Filed under: fungal sp. E12715F
Lineage: Eukaryota; Fungi
Also listed under: 1 other name
Description: eukaryotic LSU rRNA
Rfam family: 5.8S ribosomal RNA (bases 131-284)
Source: RNAcentral